Molecule: long non-coding RNA, 905 nt
Organism: Cyprinus carpio carpio
Lineage: Eukaryota; Metazoa; Chordata; Actinopteri; Cypriniformes; Cyprinidae
Source: Ensembl
GGGAAACAGAAGAUUCCCUUGAGAGUAACAGGCUGGAGUUGAUUUCUGAGACAAAGAAAAAGAAUAAUGGCAGAGUUAUAAAUGAGAUGAUGUCAAGAACCUUCAGUUUGAGAAGACAGGAGAUUGUAGGUCAAGCCCCAAGUGUUGCAGAUCUUCUAGAGAGAUGGCCUGCCCUCUUUGAACCAUCACAGAUCUGUGAAGAGUUCCUGAGAAUCAGUGGCAUAUCACUUGAGUCGACAUUUAUGUCACAGUUGGACAGGCAAACUCCAAAGCUGUUGUCACUUUUCAACGCAAAAGGAGGAGCUGUCGGUCAAAGAAUCAAGUUACAAAUGAUGACACUCAUCCAGGAUCCAUCUGCCUCUGUGGAGAAAAGGAGAGAAGUGGUCCUGAGAUGCCUGAUUGAGUACAUGGGGGGGAGAGACAGGAAGACCUCAUCAGUGUCCACCAUAGUCAUGAUGAAACAGAGGUGCAAGCUGAGCUUGGCAGUUGCCCACUGAAAAUUUACAUGUGCCAUCAGCCCGACACCAUUGGGAUUAUCAUAGAAGGACAGCCCGUGGUCAGAGUGCCUUAAUUAAUGUGGACUUUGGACUGUGUUCUGUGCCGAUCAUUACCUCAUAAGGUAUAUACUCAACACUGUUGUGUGCACAAUUUGGGAGUUCUUAAAAAUAAUAGUUGUUCAAAAUAUAGAAAUACUGUAAUCAUUUUUGACAUUGCAGUUCCAGUGUAAUACAAUGUGAUGUUAUGGCUCACAUUUACCUUUAUCCAAACAUUGCAGCUUGGGCAGUUUGGAUAUUUCACUUUACUGUUCAGAACAGGUUGAAAAUACACUAAUACAGUGUUUGUUUUAUAUUAUUGUGUACAUGUGCGGCCACAUUUAUUGGCUGUUUUGAAGUCAUUGUGAAAAG